RNAcentral lists this ribosomal RNA (524 nucleotides) under uncultured bacterium. Its description in RNAcentral is "partial 16S ribosomal RNA". It matches the Rfam family "Bacterial small subunit ribosomal RNA", at positions 28 to 523 of the family's 1533-position model. The record is from RNAcentral.
GACGAACGCUGGCGGCGUGCUUAACACAUGCAAGUCGAACGGACAGACAGAGAGCUUGCUCUCUUGAAGUUAGUGGCGAACGGGUGAGUAACGCGUAAUCAACCUGCCCUUCAGAGGGGGAUAACAACGGGAAACCGUUGCUAAUACCGCGUACGAUUCAUGAACGGCAUCGUUUAUGAAUGAAAGGUGGCCUCUAUGUAUAAGCUAUCGCUGAAGGAGGGGAUUGCGUCUGAUUAGCUAGUUGGAGGGGUAACGGCCCAACAAGGCAAUGAUCAGUAGCCGGUCUGAGAGGAUGAACGGCCACAUUGGGACUGAGACACGGCCCAAACUCCUACGGGAGGCAGCAGUGGGGAAUCUUCCGCAAUGGACGAAGGUCUGACGGAGCAACGCCGCGUGAGUGAUGAAGGUCUUCGGAUUGUAAAGCUCUGUUAAUCGGGACGAAAGAGUUCUGCGUGAAUAAUGCAGAAAAGUGACGGUACCGGAAUAGAAAGCCACGGCUAACUACGUGCCAGCAGCCGCGGUAA